Molecule: ribosomal RNA, 497 nt
Filed under: uncultured bacterium
Lineage: Bacteria
Description: partial 16S ribosomal RNA
Rfam family: Bacterial small subunit ribosomal RNA
Source: RNAcentral
GAUGAACGCUGGCGGCGUGCCUAAUACAUGCAAGUCGAGCGAACAGACGAGGAGCUUGCUCCUCUGACGUUAGCGGCGGACGGGUGAGUAACACGUGGAUAACCUACCUAUAAGUCUGGGAUAACUUCGGGAAACCGGAGCUAAUACCGGAUAAUAUAUUGAACCGCAUGGUUCAAUAGUGAAAGACGGUUUUGCUGUCACUUAUAGAUGGAUCCGCGCCGCAUUAGCUAGUUGGUAAGGUAACGGCUUACCAAGGCAACGAUGCGUAGCCGACCUGAGAGGGUGAUCGGCCACACUGGAACUGAGACAUGGUCCAGACUCCUACGGGAGGCAGCAGUAGGGAAUCUUCCGCAAUGGGCGAAAGCCUGACGGAGCAACGCCGCGUGAGUGAUGAAGGUCUUCGGAUCGUAAAACUCUGUUAUUAGGGAAGAACAAAUGUGUAAGUAACUAUGCACGUCUUGACGGUACCUAAUCAGAAAGCCACGGCUAACUACGUG